This 396-nucleotide long non-coding RNA is filed under the name Daucus carota (carrot). RNAcentral describes it as "long non-coding RNA (DCAR_LNC001032)". The record is from RNAcentral. Lineage: Eukaryota; Viridiplantae; Streptophyta; Magnoliopsida; Apiales; Apiaceae.
CCUAAAAUCACCCGUCACGCCUACGAAAAGGAGCCUAGGAAUCGCAUUUAGUUUUCUUAGUUUAUUUUCUUUUCUUUUGAUUUUACUCGAGGACGAGCAAAAUAUAGGUAUGGGGAAGUUUGAUAAGUGCAUAUUUUGGUAUAUUUUAAAUGCCUAAUUAUUGCUUGUUCUCACUUAUUUAUUUGUUUAUUUGUCUUUUUUGUAGGAAUAUUGCAAAUGCUUGAAGAAAUAAAAGAAUAAAGCAAAAAAGAGAAAAAGAUGGAAGAAAAGGAUCAUAGGGGAAUAUUCUCAAGGAAGCAUCUAGAUGGGACACCUACACCCCCCUCUACCCUAAUUUCCCCCUAUAAAUACACACCUCCCCAUCAUGUUUCAACCAACCUAGGAGUUCAUAUUUUU